This 240-nucleotide unclassified non-coding RNA is filed under the name soil metagenome. Its description in RNAcentral is "partial contains 5.8S ribosomal RNA, internal transcribed spacer 2, and large subunit ribosomal RNA". The record is from RNAcentral.
AAGACUAUAGACCUGCGGAGUACCUGCGGAGGGAUCAUUACCGAGUAUCGGGUGCUCUCGCGCCCUACUCCCACCCUAUGCUUAUCUAUAACUGUUGCUUUGGCGGGCCGGUGGGUCACUCACCGCCGGGCGGCGCCUGGAGAGCGCCCGCCAGAGGACCAAGCAAAACUCUUUAGUCAACAUGUCGCAUCUGAGCACGCGAGAAUGAACAAAACUUUUAGCAAUGGAUCUCUAGAUCGG